AGACCAAUCAGAGCUAUGCUGGCUUCCAUAUUCUUAAGCCUCCUAAUGUGGCAGACAGCCAUCCCUGUCCCUUCCCUGAUAGACCUCCAGCAGGAGGCUCUGCAAGAAGAGGUCAAUGUGCUGGUCUACGGAGUGAUACAAUUCAGCCAGGCACUGCACAACCUCUACAACUCCAUGGCACAGAAGCUGGACAAGAUCAGACAACGCAUGGACUUCUAUCAGCAGAACUUUAAGGUAUUAUAUCAUCAAGUUCAGAGUAUCCAGUUGGACCGGAAUGAGAACAGAGAGAGGAUUAAAGGACUGAAGGCAGAGGGCACAAUAUUGAAACAACAGGCUCAGGCCAAGAGGGAAGAGCUGCAGGAGUUGCUAGUGGAUCAUCAAAAUAUGCUGCUACAAGUUAAGUUGCUUGAAGAAAAGCUAUCCAGCAUGGAUCACCAAGAUUUCCAAAACAAAGAAUGGGAGCUUGCAACUAUGAGGGAAUGACUUUGGGAAACAAGAGCCGCAGACUGCCAUGCAAAAGGUAUCUCAGGCCAGAGAAGCACAUUGGUGGUGGUGGAGGCCCAUGUGCAACAGCAGAAUUUCACCAUCUGGUUCCUACUGGAAGCAGCCAAGCAGCAGCAAGAGCAAAUGGCUGAACAGGAAAAAAAGCUGCUCUGGAUUCAAGAAAAAGGCAAGACAAGAUGAAAAGAUAUUUCUUAGGAAGGAUACUAUUACAUAUAUCAAAUGAUGUGACCAGUGGCCUUGGCAGAGUUAACUCCUAUAUGUAACAACAGAUUAUUAAAGUGAAGUUUCAGAUCACUGACAAAGGAGGUAUUUAUCUCAUAUUGG
Ahaetulla prasina is the source of this 828-nucleotide RNA transcript. It is a transcript of the gene named golgin subfamily A member 6-like protein 6, with no coding region annotated. Lineage: Eukaryota; Metazoa; Chordata; Lepidosauria; Squamata; Colubridae. The transcript is spliced from 4 exons. The record is from RefSeq and is a predicted model, not a curated record.